CAUGGAAUUGUUAUUCUACCCAUUUAUGGUUAUGGGGUUAUAAAUAUAAACAUUGAGGUCCCUAAGCUUACUCACACAUUCAACAACCAAUACCACAAAGGAGUGAGAGAAAGAGCUUAUAAGAAUCUCGAAACAACUUGUCGGAGUCGAAGUUUUAAAACUCCUUGGUAAAUAGAACAAUGGCUGGAGGUAACUCGAUUCCUUACGCUUACUUUAAACGUGUUUGUAUAUUUAGAACACCCUUAUAUGUGUAAACAAAAUUUUAGAAUUACUUUACGCCAUGGCCGCAAUUUGACAACACUGGAUAGAACAUUAUGACAAAAGUUGAUCCAUGUAGCCGAUCCCUCUUAGUGGGAUAAAGAUUGGUUGUUGUUGUAGUUGUUGUUUAAUUUCUAGUGUUAUGUGUAUUGUUGCUUCUAAUUCCAUGAGAAAAGGAUCAAAGAAACAUGAUAUUGUCUUUUACUGCUAUGUUAGGUCGUCGUUAGUAUGAUAGUUUCUGAUAGGAACCAAAAUCUGAAUGGAAAAGUGAAAUUAAAUUGACACUGAAAUCUGAUCUGUAUUUAGAUGAAGUGACCUUGUUUCAAACUUACAAUAUUCAACUAAAAAAAUAUAGGAAUAAAAUUAUGACUGAAACACUAUUCAAAGUUAGAUGUAAAGAUAACGGAAACUCUUGAGGAAAGACCAAUGCCUUCACUCUGUGGCGCCCUCUAGUUCCACAAAAUUCCAGCCAACUUGUUUAUUUCCUUUUCCAUAAACUCACAGAUUCUUAUUCAUGGGGCUAAUUUCAUUUCGCUACAAUCUCAUAGGCCUCGCGUUUCAUCCUAGCAGAACACAUUUCAUAUCCUGCCCAUUUUCUUAACUUAUUGCUCGUACAAAAGAAAAAAUGAGAGUGGGAGAGAAACAAUAGUGCUUUGCUGGCCUAAAAAAUAUUGGUAACUUCAAUGCGAUUCUGCAGACUGAAAAUGAGACCAGUAUUCUUUAACAAGCUUCCUGAACAUCGAUUCUUCUCUCUUCAUCAAGCUCAUUGGCUCAUCAUACUCCGCCAGUUUUCCUGUAAACACAGUCAGUGGCUUGCUUAUCUUUGAAGAAAACAAGUAAAUGAUCUAGCAUAUCCUUCACUAUUUUUUUUAUCACUUUAAGCUGUGAAAACCAAAUGCUGCAUUAAUUUUACGUGUUAUCUUUUAUGUGCUCUACAGGUCAAAAUCUUAAUUUAAAAAAACCUCAUUUACCUCUAACUAGGUAAAUGCAAUCAUAUCCUCUACUCAAACAACAAAAACAUGUUUGGUGUGUCAGAUAAACCUAUACUUGUUUGUAGCCUUACCUUGUUCAAGAUAUUAGGCAACCGUUAUGUAUCAUAAACAUAAUAAAUGGCUAUUGGAGCUAUCAAUGAGUUUCCAAAGAAUUGUUAAAUGAGGAUAGAGGGAGUGAGAGAUAGGAACCACUCCAAAAAAAAAAAACUUACCAUCACUUAUAGCAAGAACCAUAGUCAAUCCAUCACAGUUGGUACUUCUAUGUGCUCUGUGAUCCACCGUACAAUCUUGCAAACUCAACUCUAAUAGUUUUCUGCACAAUCAGGUCAGUUAGAAUUAUCGAUUGACGCAGUUGGCUUCGAUCCAAUCACUAAUAUCCUAUUCUACCUCAAAAGAGCACGGCCCAAACAGAAUAAACUGCCUUGUCCCAUACUUCCAGUUUUGAUCCAUCUUACAACAACUGACGUAACAUUUUCCACUUGUCAUUAAUAACUUGAGCAAAAAAUGCACUUCCAGGCAUGAGCGUAUAAGCCGUAUAACCAAUGAAUCUUGAAAAUUGUACCUGAAGAGUUUAAACCUUCUUUUUUCCCUUGGACAACUUCUCGUAAUUGACACUGCCUUGAGAAACCUCAUAUUGCAUCAAGAAACUAGUCAACAUUUUAUAUUCAGAAAAGAAACAAAAAUUAAGCUUCGUUUUACCUCCAUAUCUCUAUCAGGAUGUUGGAUAAAAGGGUCCAAGUUAAAUCUUACUGUCCCUAAAAAGGUAGGAUCCUGAGUUUAUCCCCAAACACCGUGGACUCAAAAUUCAUGAAGGCCAAAGAUGAGAUGGUCUAUGCCACGACACUAUGUUCCGUUCGCUGCGUUCCACAAAACGAAUAAAGCCCCAAUUAAGAGGUGAUUUUCCACUGCCUGUUCUGCCACCAAAUACAAUCUUGUGGACCAUGCCUUAAAUGUCAGUGAUCCCAUGUAAAGAACAAUGUGUCCGCAUAUCUGAUAUCGGUAUCUGGUAUGGACAAUAUGCUUAACAUUUUUAAAAAAGUAUAAACUUAACAUAUGAUUCCCAAAAUUUGUUUCAGAAGUAUAUCAAAAUUAACAAAAACAUCAUUGAGUGUGUUUUUUGUUAGUAAUUUCAGAGAUCUAACUGACUGAUAGAAGAAACAUUAGAAGACCAAACUAACUAAUAAAAUACACAUUCAAGGAUCAAACUAUAUUCAAGUUUGUUUUUUUAUUUCUAAUACAUUAAAGGACUAUAGUGAUAAUGAUUCACACAUUCAGGAACCAAAAUUAUUUAAUCCAAUUUUAAAAUUAGUACUAAUUAAUUACCUUCAAGUCAUUUAUUUCUAUUGUGCCCGAAGCUGGCCAAUUCAAAGGAGGGCGAUUUCCAUUUACUAUUUCUUCGGCCUCACUUUGUAUAUGCAUGUAUUGAUUUAGCCUCUCUACUGAUAUUAUGUGAUUAGCAAGAGUGCAUUGAUUUUGAACUGCAAAUACUAAAGCACCGUUUAGUGAUAGGCCAUAAGAUAGAGCCAUGCCAAUAAUUCCUGGAAUGAAGGAAGAUGAAAUUUAGAAACUUGCAUUAAGAUAUAUAAGUUACUUUAAAUGAGAAAAACUAGUACUUUUAGGAUAAUUACAAUAAUAGUAAUAAUUACAUUUCAGAGAUAAUAAAGACCAAAUUUUCACCUGAGGGGAAAGUUCCAGGGGGUAGCAUAACCAGGCAAAGUGUUGUAGCGGCGAGAACAACCGCACUGAUUGUUUCUAACCGUUGGAUCAACCACUCAUUUGAGGCAAAACUAUGAAAAAAAGCAGUAGCAUUAUUAUCAAUUAGAUUAAGGUUCUUUUCAAAAGAACGACCUUCCUCCUCAAAAGCCCUUAUUGUUACAGCUCCAGCAACAGUUUCGGCUACAUGAUUUGCUAAAGAGGAUUUUGUUGUGCCAUUCAACCGCAUCACUUCUUUUGCUGAGGCAAAGUAGUAUCUCUGCUUAAAACACAAAAAUGCACCUUACAGUACUUUCCUUCCAACAGGGAAUGGUUUAAAUUAUUUUAAAAACUAUUAAAAUGUUUCAAAGUUUAAUUUAAGACUUGUGUAUAUACUUAAAAAAGAAUGACCAUUGUUUACUUAAAUUUGAUUGCUUCCUUAAAAUGAAUUUGUUUAAUACCUGCAUGUGAAUAGCAACAUAAACCAUUGGUAUAGCCACUAUCAAGACUUGCCAUGUGACAACGCCAAACUAUAAGAUAAAUAAGUACCUUAUAGUGCUCAGCAACGGCAAAACUGAGGCUAAAUGGAAUGUCAAGAUCCACAAUACUCAGAUCAGAUGAUACCUAUACAGAGAAAUAACAAUUAGAACUUCAUUUCUUCUGGUAUGUUCCUUAGGAAGAAAAAGUAUAGUUUAUUAAGCUUACCCUACUAAGUACCCUUCCCAAUGGUGUAAAGUCAUAAAAUGACAUAGGUGCGCGGAAGAGGGAGUUCAUCAACUGUGAAAAUAAAUCUUUUGAUGAUUGAAGACCCAAAGUAACUAAACAUUGACAUCUGAUGAACAUGAAAACUGAUGAAAAAACACCAAUUAGGAAAUAAACAAAAACCAGUUGCAAUGUGCUAACAAGAGGAUUGUCAACAUUAGAAGCCAUCCAUGAGUUUUGCAAUAUCUGACAAAUCAUAAAAAUAAGGUAGCAAAGGGAAGCCAUAGAGAGUAAUAUAUAGCCUUUCAUCCGAUUCAGAUAUUGUAAGUAAGGCUUCAUUCCCAUGUCUCCCUUCCCUCUCUCUUCUUGCUGAAUUAAUUGAUUUCCAUUUGGUGCUUUAUACUGCUUUAACGCGGAAGCUUGCGUACUCUUUAUGGAAGUUAAACUUUUUUGGGAAAAAGUAGCACUCACAAGUUGGUCAGAACCAGCAGUCUCUUUGUGAGCAUUGACAAGACCAUUGAAUUCUUUGCUCGAGGUCAAUAACUGGUGAUAUGGACCAGCUUGUUGGAUUGCCCCAUUAGACAUCAACUGUAAAUAACAUAAAAUAAAUGUUUUAACAAUAAUUUUGUUAUAAAUCAGCCAUAUUAAUGAAUGCCUCACAAGAGUAGUUGAGCACUAUGAUUAAUUUAUGGGCUCCAAAUCAUUAGCACGAUAAAUUUUCUGAUGAUUUGUCAUACUUUGUUAUCAGAAAAGGUAGCUUAAGAAGUAUAUGUGAUCACUGGAAAUGUUUGACACUGUCUCUUGUUAUGUAGGUGGAUUAAUGGUGUGUGAGAGGGAACAUUAAUAUGUACAGGAGGAAGGAUCAUGUCAUUGCAUAUAUGAAGGCUCGAAGCUUCCAUCACUAUCAGGUUCAAAUUUGUAUGAUAAUAUAUUUGACAAGGUCACAUCAUUCACAUGUGCCACGUAUUUCAAUAUUAUGACAUAACCAAUGCCUUAAGAUGAAUGAGUUUACC
Molecule: long non-coding RNA, 4657 nt
Filed under: Lathyrus oleraceus (garden pea)
Lineage: Eukaryota; Viridiplantae; Streptophyta; Magnoliopsida; Fabales; Fabaceae
Description: Pisum sativum (pea) long non-coding RNA (PSAT_LNC002124)
Source: RNAcentral